CUACCCCUGGAAUUGUCCCAUCCCAGGGAUCAGCCCAUCCUUGGAAUUCUCCCAUUCUUGAAAUUGUUCACUCCUUGGAAUUGUCCAAUCCCUGGAAUUCUGUCCCUAGAAUUGGCCCAUCCCUGGAAUUCUCCUAUGUCUGGAAUUCUGUCCCUGGAAUUGUCCAAACCCUGGAAUUUUAUCACAGGAAUUGUCCCAUCCAUGGAAUUCUCCCAUGCUUGAAAUUGUUCACUCCUUGGAAUUGUUCAAUCCCUGGGAUUCUGUCCCUGGAAUUGUCCCAUCCAUGGAAUUGUCCAUUCCUUGGAAUUCUCCUAUCCCUGAAAUUCCACCCUUGCCAUUGUCCCAUCCAUGGAAUUCUCCUUUCUCUGGAAUUGCCCCCAAAUCCCUGGAAGUUUCCAAGGCCGGCUUGGAUCCGCCUGGAAUAUUUGGAUUGGCUGGAAUUUCAGGCUGGGAUUCAGGGACGGCAUUGAAGGAUCCCAAACCACUCCACAAUUCCAUCAAUUCUUCCCAAAUCCAACCCGAGACCCCAAAAUCCCUGGAAUUCCCAACACUGACCGAUCCCAUUCCCGUUUUUUUUUUCCCCCAGAGCAAAAGCACCUUGAACCCGGACGCCAAGGAAUUCGUUCCCGGAGUGAAAUACUGACCUGGGAAAUUCGGGAAUGGCCUGGCCAGAGACUGAAUCCCUGCUCCAGGGAAAAGUUGGGACAUGGGAAGGGCCCGGAGCGGCUCCAGCACCGGGAUCUGCUCCGGUUCCAAGUAUUUCUGCUUUUCCCCAAUUUUUUUUUUUGGUUUUUUUUCUGGUUUUUCCUCACUUUUUCUUGGCAGUUUUUGGCUUCCUUGGGAUUUGCGGUGACCCCGCCGGCGGGAAAAUCUUGGGGAAAAUCAUGGGAAAAAAUCUUGGGAAAAUCAUGGUAAGAUCAUGGAAAAAUCACAGGGAAAUAAUGGGAAAAUCAUGGGAAAAUGACAGGAAAAUCAUGGAAAAAUCUUGGGAAAAAAUAAUGGGAAAAUCUUGGGAAAAUAAUGGUAAGAUCAUGGAAAAAUCAUGGAAAAAUCUUGGGAAAAAAAAUGGAAAAAUAAUGAGAAAAGCACAGAAAAAUCAUGGAAAAAUCAUGGGGAAAAAAAAGGAAAAUCAUGGGAAAAUCAUGGGAAAAAAUCUUGGGAAAAUCAUGGUAAGAUCAUGGAAAAAAUCACAGGGAAAUAAUGGGAAAAUCAUGGGAAAAAUCAUGGAAAAUCACAGGAAAAUCAUGGAAAAAUCUUGGGCAAAAUAAUGGAAAAAUAGUGAGAAAAGCAUGGGAAAAUCAUGGGAAAAUGACAGGAAAAUAAUGGAAAAAUAAUGGAAAAAAAAAGGAAAAUCAUGGAAAAAUCCUUGGGAAAAUAAUGGUAAGAUAAUGGAAAAAUCACAGGAAAAUAAUGGGAAAAUCUUGGGAAAAAUCAUGGGAAAAUGACAGGAAAAUAAUGGAAAAAUCACAGGAAAAAACAUGGAAAAUCACGGGAAAAUAAUUGAAAAAUCUUGGGAAAAAUAAUGGAAAAAUAAUGAGAAAAGCACGGAAAAAUCAUGGGAAAAUGACAGGAAAAUAAUGGAAAAAUCAUGAAAAAAAAUGGGAAAAUCACAGGAAAAUCUUGGGAAAAACAAUGGAAAAAUAAUGAGAAAAUAAUGGGAAAUCAAUAAUGGGGAAAUAAUGGAAAAAUCAUGGAAAAAUCACAGCAAAAUAAUGGAGCAAAAUAAUGGAAAAAUCUUGGGAAAAAUAAUGGGAAAAAAAUACGAGAAAAGCAUGGAAAAAACAUGGAAAAAUCAUGGGAAAUCAAUAAUGGGAAAAUCAUGGAAAAAUCAUGGAAAACCAAUAAUGGGAAAAUCAGAUUUUCCUGCUUCCAGAGGAUUUUUAGGAUUGGGAGCUGCACUGGAUUUUCCCUGAUUUUUCCGGAGCGGAAUUUUCCCUGAUUUUUCCAGAAUGGGAUUUUCCCUGAGUUUUUCCAGAGUGGAAUUUUCCCUGAUUUUUCUGGAAUGGGAUUUUCCCUGAUUUUUUCCAGAGCGGAAUUUCCCCUGAUUUUUCUGGAAUGGGAUUUUCCCUGAUUUUUCCAGAAUGGAAUUUUCCCUGAUUUUUCCUGAAUGGGAUUUUCCCUGAUUUUUUCCAGAAUAGGAUUUUCCCUGAUUUUUCCGGAAUGGAAUUUUUCCAGAAUGUGAUUUUCCCUGAUUUUUCUGGAAUGGAAUUUUCCCUGAUUUUUCUGGAAUGGAAUUUUCCCUGAUUUUUCCAGAGCAGAAUUUUCCCU
Molecule: long non-coding RNA, 2268 nt
Organism: Zonotrichia albicollis (white-throated sparrow)
Lineage: Eukaryota; Metazoa; Chordata; Aves; Passeriformes; Passerellidae
Source: Ensembl